UAGUCCACGCCGUAAACGUUGGGCACUAGGUGUGGGAUUCAUUCAACGGAUUCCGUGCCGUAGCUAACGCAUUAAGUGCCCCGCCUGGGGAGUACGGCCGCAAGGCUAAAACUCAAAGGAAUUGACGGGGCCCGCACAAGCGGUGGAGCAUGUGGUUUAAUUCGAAGCAACGCGAAGAACCUUACCGGGGUUUGACAUCUAGUGGACCGGUGUAGAGAUACACCUUCUCUUUGAGUCGCUAGACAGGUGCUGCAUGGCUGUUGUCAGCUCGUGUCGUGAGAUGUCGGGUUAAGUCCCUUAACGAGCGAAACCCUUGUCUUCAGUUGCCAGCGUGUAAUGGCGGGGACUCUGAAGAGACUGCCGGUGUUAAACCGGAGGAAGGUGGGGAUGACGUCAAGUCCUCAUGGCCUUUAUGGCCUGGGGCUGCACACGGUCCUACAAUGGGCAAUUACAAAGGGGAAGCUAACUCGCGAGAGUACGCAAAUCCCAAAAAGAU
RNAcentral lists this ribosomal RNA (496 nucleotides) under uncultured bacterium. RNAcentral's name for it is "bacterial SSU rRNA". It matches the Rfam family "Bacterial small subunit ribosomal RNA", at positions 791 to 1283 of the family's 1533-position model. The record is from RNAcentral.